UUUUUGGUCCACCUCCCCACCCCCAAUGAUUUAUUUUUAUUUUUAACAAGGUUUAUUACUUCUGUUUGACAAGUUGGAAGCUGAGAUGACACCAAAACACUAAAUGACUUGGCCAAGGUCAUACAGGAAAGCUGGGAUGGAGCACCAAACAUAUGAUUGCUUCUGAUUUCCAAGCCAGCACUCAAACCACUGGACAUCCUUCUUAAUUUUCAAGUCUCUUCUGGCACUGCUACCAACUUUCUGGGCCAAUUCCUCAACCACAUUGUGCCUCUUUUUCCCUGCUUUUAUAAAUAAAGCCAACCUCGUGAGAUGUUAAAAGUGUUGGGGCUAAAAUCAAGGUGGUGAAGGACCUCCUCGGCAGAACGAAAUCACAGCAUCCUCAGGAGGGUGAUGGCAUGUGGUAAGAAGCUCUGGACAGGACCAGGAGGAGAGGCCAGGGCUGGAGCAAGUCUGUAUCCUGCUGCAGCCCCGUUGCCCCCACGCUGUGUCCUGUUGCACCCUGGAGGAAGCAGAAUGGUGCUUGUGCUGCUUCAGGAAUAAGGUGGUGGCAUGCAGUGGUGACAUUCCCUAACUGCCCGCAGUGGAUCUAGCACACAAGUCCAAGAGCCCACAAGUCCAAGAGAGUUCACAGAGCGCUUCUCCACCCUGCUUUGGUGCAGGUUCCUGAGCCAAUAUCGCUGUGCCAUGUACUGCUCUUUGGAUGUACAAGCUCUCCUAAGGUCAAUACAGCCCGGAUGCAAUGCCAGGUCUAAGAUCAUCAGAAAAGGUAAGUUACUUAAUUUUUCCAUUGAAAAAAUGGGAAUUGAGCUUGAAAUUGUUCAAGCUCCUUCCUCCUCUUGUUUUGCCUUGCACUUAACACCUUCAGAACUGAAGAUGAGGACCAUGCAGGCCUGCAGAGGACUCAGGUGUCCUCUGUGUACCCCUCCUCCAUCCCCAGGUGGGUUCUCCUGUGCCAGGUGA
This 960-nucleotide long non-coding RNA is filed under the name Anas platyrhynchos platyrhynchos (common mallard). RNAcentral's name for it is "lncRNA (ENSAPLG00000029130.1)". The record is from RNAcentral. Lineage: Eukaryota; Metazoa; Chordata; Aves; Anseriformes; Anatidae.